GGCUGGACCCAUGGUAGUGGGUUAUCAGAACUUAUUAACAUUAAAUAAAGUUGGUAUUCAACCCCCCACUACUAAAUUUGACUGGCUUUUA
This 91-nucleotide Y RNA is filed under the name Microcebus murinus (gray mouse lemur). RNAcentral describes it as "Y RNA (ENSMICG00000022798.3)". It matches the Rfam family "Y RNA". From Rfam's summary of the family: Y RNAs are components of the Ro ribonucleoprotein particle (Ro RNP), in association with Ro60 and La proteins. Lineage: Eukaryota; Metazoa; Chordata; Mammalia; Primates; Cheirogaleidae. The record is from Rfam by way of RNAcentral.